UAGAGCUGAUAUACAGCAGUCACUAGCAACACUGUUUUUAUUUUUUCUAAAAAUCUGGCAUCACGUCUGCCAUUUUGAGUGAGAGUGAGAGAGAGUGAGCGAGAAGGAAAACAAAAUAAUACAAAGCUCUCGCUCACUCGUAAAAAAAAUCAACAUGGAAAUAUCCUACCUGGGAAAAGCUGGACGCCUUUUUUAAUAUUUUCGAAGCAACAACCGUCCAAUGGAAUUCCAACAACGGUGAGAAAACACCGUUGAAAUCAAUAUCGGACCUCGGCAGGUAGGACGAUCCACGACUUCUAAGCGAUCCACGAAUUCGGACGAUUCGGAUUAGGAGGACACUUCGUGGUUGUGGUGCCACAGCUGCAGGUACGAAAGCGAAUUCCGUGUUUUUUAGUUUGUAAUAAUUUAACUGUGUGAUGUGAGGUGUGAAGUUUAAAUAAGAUCAAUAAAAAUGGCUUUGAGCUUAAA
Long non-coding RNA from Culex pipiens pallens (northern house mosquito), 468 nucleotides. RefSeq lists it as uncharacterized. The transcript is spliced from 2 exons. The record is from RefSeq and is a predicted model, not a curated record. NCBI's taxonomy places the organism in Eukaryota, Metazoa, Arthropoda, Insecta, Diptera, Culicidae.